This is a long non-coding RNA of Oryza sativa Japonica Group (Japanese rice), 1015 nucleotides long. RefSeq lists it as uncharacterized. NCBI's taxonomy places the organism in Eukaryota, Viridiplantae, Streptophyta, Magnoliopsida, Poales, Poaceae. The record is from RefSeq and is a predicted model, not a curated record.
AGUGAAAAUUUGGUAAAAGAAAUACUUUGAAUUCCACGUAUAACUGCACACCAUGUGUUAUUGUCUCUGUAUAACCUGCACACGUAGCAAAUGGUGGGCCGUGCAAAUGACUUCGUGGGCUGUGUCUAGGGAUAGCAAUUUGACCUGUUUGCCCGUUUACCUGUGGAUAAAAACCCUAAUAGAGUUGGGUUUGUUCUCUAUUUAGUACUCAUAGGUUUCUUAUUGGGUUAAAACUUGUAACAAACGGGCACACGGGCCCGCUUCGCCCAUUUACCCGCGAACAUCAACUGACAUGUGGCCCUCAAUCAACUUAGUAUAAAAACCAACAUCUAAAAACCCUAGAAUUUUCUUCUCUUCCCUUCAUAGCCGCCGCAUCUCCUUCUCUUCGACUUUUCUCCUCCACAGCCGCCAAGCUGACGCGGGAGGUCGCCGCCGGGAGGGGCUCUAGGCGGACAUGGGAGGGGCGCCACCGUGCCAUGGGAGGUCACCGCCGGGAGGGGUGCCAUAGGCACCACGGGAGGUCCGCGCGGGAGGUCAGGUCGCCGCUGGGAGGGGCGCCACGGGAGGUCGUCGCCGGCGGCUCCACCCUCUAGCCGUUGUCGCCUCGCCUCCUACCCGUCUGCGCGAGCUCCCCUCCGGCCGGUCAUCAACGUCUCCAACCGCGCCUCCCUCCAGUCGCGCCUCCCACCUCCGGUCGCCACUGCCUCCUCUGUGCCGAGCCGCCGAGCUCCCCUCCGGCCGGCAACGUCCUCCCCUGCGCUGAGCAAGUGAUUUGAACCAAUGGCUACUUCGGCCAGUAGCAGCCAGUGUGCUACUCCACCGGUCAGCAGCAACCGGCGUGAGCAAGCCUCACAGGCUUCUGUAGAUGCAUCCCCAACUGCAAAACAAGCUGAAUAGGAAGAAGAGGAAACUUGUGUAAUUGAAGUUUGUUGAUUGUGUAAUUGUGCUAAAGUAUGACAUUUGAAGUUGUCUUAUUGUUGAACUUAUAAUGUUUGUAUUGUUGACUGUCUCUGCA